AUGAGCCGCUCGGCCGCUGCGGGCGACGACCGGCAGAAGGCCGCAUGCCUCGCGAUCGCCGCCUCUACCUCCGCCGUGGCCGAUCCUCCUCCGCCGGCGCCAGCCGCGGCGAGCUCCUCGCCCACGGCGUCGCCGCAUAGGCCGCACAGCCACCGCCCGGCGUACUGCGCGCGCACGCCGGCCGCGUACGCCGCAGUGCACUCCUCCCUGAGCCCGCAGCACGCGCACGCCGCCCACUCCACCUCGGCCGCCGAGGCAGCCUCGAUGGGCGGCGCCACGUCCUGCGCAACCACCGCCGACAUGCCAGCACGGUGGGAAACCUCCCUCUUCUUGGAUCCUGGUCGAGGACGGCUCUAG
RNAcentral lists this ribosomal RNA (357 nucleotides) under Triticum aestivum (bread wheat). RNAcentral describes it as "partial small subunit ribosomal RNA". The record is from RNAcentral. Lineage: Eukaryota; Viridiplantae; Streptophyta; Magnoliopsida; Poales; Poaceae.